CUUAGCAUACACGUGUCGCUCUCUCUUCUCUUCCUGCCUGUUUCUCUUCUCUUCCUCUCUUCGUCUCUAUCUCUUCAUCAUGUGUCUGCUCUAAUCCAUUGAUCGGAUCUCCGUUUGAUGCUUGAUUGAUUUAGAAUCGAUGCUUGAUUGAUUUAGAAUCGGGUCAGAUGAGGGAAUGGUGAUCCGGGAGCACUCGGGGCUUACUUUAGAGGAGGUCAGAGACGAAGUUCUUCUUCUCCGAGGAUCCAAGAGUGUUGGAGGCGGCGUGUGCGUUGUCUGGGUUUGGGUUUCCUUGGAAUAAGCUUGGGAGGUUGUAUAAAGAGGAAAGAAUAUAGCUGCUGGCAAAUAGGAAGAAGGUACGCUCUGCUUCUCAUCACUAAGCAAACUCGCAUACUCGAAGGUAGAACUAGAAGAUGAUGGUUCAGUUUCUGAAGUGGACAAGGACAUCAGUCUAUUGAAGCACGAUCGACGUACCUCUUCUCUGAUCGACGCACCUUUUAACAGUGACCUCUUUUGAUAAUGAAACAACACACCCUUUAAACUGAUUAAUAGAUUGAAGAACUGGUUUGAGCCGUUGUUUUUUCUAAGAACGCUUCUCAAUCCAAGUCCCAAGGAAAAGUUUUGGUUCAUCAUCAUGAUCUGCUCUAGCCUGCCAAUUCAACGGCUACAAUUGAUUUCUAAUAGAUCUCGCCGCGAAUCUAAACCACCACCGCCGUCUCCGUUGAUGACGAGAAACCGACGUUAUAAAGUUGAUCAGAGAGAAGAGUAAAAAGUAGAAGAAGAAAGUUGUGGCGGUGACAACGCUGCCAUGGACGGAAUUGAAAAGCUAAAAGUUCAGAAAAUAAGAUACAGAGGAUAGAUCAUGUCAUCUGAUGUUGAGGCUCAACUACGACGCCAAUUCGGAAGUUUCGCCUGUUAAAGCUUCGCUUGGGUCGGAAGCUACCGUAGCAGAUGUCAGUGUAUGUCUUUCUCUAAUCAUAUUCCUCUCUCGCCGUUGAAAAUCUGUUUGCUUUUCUAAAUUAGUUUUAUAUUAAUUUCCCAUACUAGGUGUAGAGAUAUGUUUGAUUUAACAAAAGUUUCCGAACGUAGAGAUGUGAUGUUUUUAGAUGUCAGUGAAUAGAUUGCAUAGAUGGUAGAUGUAUGCACAGGAUAAGACGGUUAACUGGUUCAAACUAAUUAUCCAUUCCUUGUUUCACAUAUAUGUUCUUUUUAAUCUCUUGCAUUUCUCAACUUCGGUUAUUUGUCUGAUUAGGCUGGUUCCAUAUCAAUGGCAAGAGAAUCUAGAUAUCUAUUGAAUAUUUAUACGCUGUAGUCCGAGUAGGCUUUUUCUUGUGAAUGUGAUUGUAUUACAGAUCCAGCAUGACCCCUGGGACAGUACCGAUCAUCCUUGCUGGUAGGUUCAAGGGAAAGAGAGUUAUUUUUUUUUGAACCAACUACCCUCUGUUUUUCUUUUUUUUUGUGCCCGGUGAGUUUUUCUAAUUCUGCCGCGUUCUAUUAUCCAUCUUAGGCAUCCACUACUUUUGUCACCUGAUAUGUUCCUAUUUUUGUAAUUGGCCCUUCAAGAUCAAUGAUUGCCACAAACUGAAAGUCUCUGAUGUUAGCCUCGAUAAAUUUGAUGAUCAGUAUUUUGGAAAGGUAGCCGAGAAGUAGACCAAGAAGGGAGAAGGAGAGUCCGAUGUAGCCGUGGAUGUAUAUCUUUUAAUCAUACUUUCCUUUUAUUAUUCUCAGAUUGUAAACAGUACAAACCUGAGCACAAAUCCUAAGCAAAUUGCUUAAAGAUCCAAACCGACAGCAUAAAAACCCAGAGGCAAAAGACAAAUAAGUCUACGAUUUAUACUACUCAAGUUUAUUGUUUUCUGCUCCACUUCAAUCUCAAGCUCUCCCUUGUACUUCUUCACUUGUUUCCUCUUCCUCUACUGUGCUGCCUUCCUCUCGUGUCCGUACGUAUACACUCCAAGGUCUAUCAGAGUUUUCGAGGCAGAGAGAAAGGCAAUAAUCUUCUUUGGUAAAUAUGUCAACUGUUUGACCAAAGACAUAAUACAACUCCUCUCUUAAUUCUCAGAAAGUGCCUACACAAGGGAAAAAACGACCAGAAGGCUGUGGAUGGAGCUUUGAUCAAAGCCAUUGAGGUAGUUUCAGAGUUGAAUAUUUGCCUUGGCACAAGGUUUUCAUUGCACAAGGAAUGGAGCCGCAUAAGCUUGUUUUCUAGAUUCUAAAAACCUUUUAUGAGCAUUUAGAGUAUCUGUGCCCUCAUGUGUUACUAUUUUUUUGUUCUUGUCCACCUGCCAAAGAUAUUUUGACUUGUACAUUCUAUAUAUCACAUUUGGUAUAAACAAUCUAUCUUAUUUAAUUUGAACUUUGAA
Molecule: long non-coding RNA, 2363 nt
Organism: Brassica napus (rape)
Lineage: Eukaryota; Viridiplantae; Streptophyta; Magnoliopsida; Brassicales; Brassicaceae
Exons: 3
Source: RefSeq, a predicted model, not a curated record